Molecule: ribosomal RNA, 432 nt
Filed under: uncultured bacterium
Lineage: Bacteria
Description: partial 16S ribosomal RNA
Rfam family: Bacterial small subunit ribosomal RNA
Source: RNAcentral
AACGAACGCUGGCGGCAGGCCUAACACAUGCAAGUCGAGCGCACCCUUCGGGGUGAGCGGCGGACGGGUGAGUAACGCGUGGGAACGUGCCCUUCUCUGCGGAAUAGCCUCGGGAAACUGAGAGUAAUACCGCAUACGCCCUUUGGGGGAAAGAUUUAUCGGAGAAGGAUCGGCCCGCGUUGGAUUAGGUAGUUGGUGGGGUAAUGGCCCACCAAGCCGACGAUCCAUAGCUGGUUUGAGAGGAUGAUCAGCCACACUGGGACUGGGACACGGCCCAGACUCCUAGGGGGGGGAGAAGGGGGGAAUUUUAAACAAGGGGGGCAACCCGAAUCUAGCCGGGCCGGGGGAGGUAGGAAGGCCUUAGGGUUUAAAAGCUCUUUCAGCUGGGAAGAUAAGGCGGGUCCCAGCAAAAGAAGCCCCGGUAAAUUCCGG